CCUACGGGCGGCAGCAGUGAGGAAUAUUGGUCAAUGGACGAGAGUCUGAACCAGCCAAGUAGCGUGAAGGAUGACUGCCCUAUGGGUUGUAAACUUCUUUUAUAUGGGAAUAAAAUGAUCCACGUGUGGGAUUUUGUAUGUACCAUAUGAAUAAGGAUCGGCUAACUCCGUGCCAGAAGCCGCGGUAAUACGGAGGAUCCGAGCGUUAUCCGGAUUUAUUGGGUUUAAAGGGAGCGUCGGUGGAUUGUUAAGUCAGUUGUGAAAGUUUGCGGCUCAACCGUAAGAUUGCAGUUGAAACUGGCAGUCUUGAGUACAGUAGAGGUGGGCGGAAUUCGUGGUGUAGCGGUGAAAUGCUUAGAUAUCAGGAAGAACACCGAUUGCGAAGGCAGCUCACUGGACUGCGACUGACGCUGAGGCUCGAAGGUGUGGGGAUCAAACAGGAUUAGAUACCCGGGUAGUC
Molecule: ribosomal RNA, 460 nt
Filed under: uncultured bacterium
Lineage: Bacteria
Description: partial 16S ribosomal RNA
Rfam family: Bacterial small subunit ribosomal RNA
Source: RNAcentral